This 508-nucleotide ribosomal RNA is filed under the name uncultured bacterium. RNAcentral describes it as "partial 16S ribosomal RNA". It matches the Rfam family "Bacterial small subunit ribosomal RNA", at positions 28 to 507 of the family's 1533-position model. The record is from RNAcentral.
GACGAACGCUGGCGGCGUGCCUAAUACAUGCAAGUCGAACGCUUCUUUCCUCCCGAGUGCUUGCACUCAAUUGGAAAGAGGGGUGGCGGACGGGUGAGUAACACGUGGGUAACCUACCCAUCAGAGGGGGAUAACACUUGGAAACAGGUGCUAAUACCGCAUAACAGUUUAUGCCGCAUGGCAUAAGAGUGAAAGGCGCUUUCGGGUGUCGCUGAUGGCUGGAACCGCGGUGCAUUAGCUAGUUGGUGAGGUAACGGCUCACCAAGGCCACGAUGCAUAGCCGACCUGAGAGGGUGAUCGGCCACACUGGGACUGAGACACGGCCCAGACUCCUACGGGAGGCAGCAGUAGGGAAUCUUCGGCAAUGGACGAAAGUCUGACCGAGCAACGCCGCGUGAGUGAAGAAGGUUUUCGGAUCGUAAAACUCUGUUGUUAGAGAAGAACAAGGACGUUAGUAACUGAACGUCCCCUGACGGUAUCUAACCAGAAAGCCACGGCUAACUACGUG